GACGCUAGUGCGGUCCCCCGCGCGGCGGAGGGGCCCGGGCCGCGGUAUCUGCGCACUGAGACGUCGGCGGAAGGCUAGAGGCCGUGCUCUCGCCCCCGCAGAAGGCCACCACUCCUUGAGAAGGCCGGAGGGACAAAGCACCGGGCCUGCGCCGGGGGCAUUCAAGAAGGAAGCCAGGCCCGACCGGGGGUGGCGCACGCUUCCCGAACCCCAGGCCCACGGCCCGGUUCCGCGCGGGCAGUUGGCGCCCCCUCGGGUCGGCACAGCAGACCUCUUAGUAAUGGUCCCCAGGGAGUGUGAGUGGGUCCCCGCCAAUCUUUUAAGGUUCAGAGAUCCACCGUCGAACGAAGCCGCUUUUACAACUUCCCCAUUUAGCCUCUUUCCUCCCCCGCCGCUGGCUAAAGCGCUGAACCUUGCCAUCCUCCUGGGGUGCCUAACGAUUUGCCCUGCCUUGGACAGCCAGUCCUCUUCAGGUGGUGGGCUGCUGGUAGGGGUAGGAAGCAAGGCCUGGGGCACAGUUGGGGACCCUCACACCUGAUUUUCUGUUUUAAGGAGGAACUGGGUUUCAAAAAGCUGUAGAGUCAGUGGGAGUUUCCUUUUGUGGCCCUUGGCACUUUUUAAAACACCCAUCUGCAAGGCGGGAACAGCGGAGAAAGUGCUAUGUAGUUCAUAAAAAGGAUAUUGGGAGACUGUUAUCUUAAGAGUUUUUCUAGAGAUUGUUUUGUAAUCUCUCAGUUUAGAGAGUUGAUAUGUCCCGCGCCAUCAGCCCGCUGAAUGGGAUCUUCCUUCAGACAGGGACUGAGAAACGGAAAUACUACCAUCCUCCAGCCAAUCUGUUGGGAGGACUGCUUGCAGAGGACUCGUGCUCCAGAUGUUGCACUAGAGGCGCUGCAAGUGUGAGCAGCAGGUAGAUGAAACUCAAGAGAAAAGGUGUGGAUAAAUGAAACUAGCCCAUGAUGAACCUGUUUUCUCCGUGACCACAAUAUUAACCAGGAUGAAUGGCGGUGGCAGUGGGCCUGCAUCACAGGUUGCAGCAGAUGUUCUCAAUAUUUCUAUUAAAAUUUCCUUAUUUCCAUAUGCAAGAGGAGCCCCAGAGCUGCAUCCUUAUGGUAGCUACCAUGCCGUGAUGUAAGCUGCCAUUCACUGGGGAGCUUUGGCAAUAGAAUUGGCUAGAUCAGGAAGCCUAUGUCAACUAUGGAACAACAACUUGCAGCUCAUCUCUAUUGAUGAUACACUGCCUCUAGGACUGGGACAGAUAGCCACUGAGUACCUGCUUCAAAUCACCCUGCACGUUUUCUCUUUGGAAAGAUAAGCACUGGAGAACCAUCUCGUUACCUUCAGCAGAAAUGGAAACAAAUCAAGACAUUAAGAAUGCCGCAGUGGACAGCAGUUAUGCAAGGUUCAGCAGAGGAAGUUUUCAAGAUGGUGUGCCUCACUAGCCAGAAAUCAGAAAAGAUCGAAGCUAGCCUUUUCAUCUCAGCUGCUCCUUAAAUCAGUGCAACCCCUCCAAAUUAAUGUGAAUUGAAACUUGCAUUGCUUUUCAACUUAAUUGAAUACUUACUAUAUGUGAACCACUGCACAAAAUAGGGGAAGAAGAUGUGGGAGACAAAGAUGUGGAGCCUGUCUUCAAUAAAUUUACAGUUAGUUUCAGGGUACAUUGUUUUUCUUCUGCUGUUAAUUAGGUGUAUCCCCAAGACAAUAAAUACAUGAAUGGAAAAGUAUAUUCUGUGUUUUAAGUCUCUUUAAUAAAAAACAAAACAAAAUCCAAAAAAACUCCUAACAUGGCAACUCAGGACAUUUUAAUCCUUUUUUUUGUUGUUGGGCUUCUGAUAGGAUCCAUUUUAUUGAUUCCAUAAAUAUUUAGUAGACUUUAGACAUAUUAAUACAUUGUAGUUUGAGUUAAUUUGCAUUAAAUUCUGUUUUUUUCCCCUUAGGUAUAGAUUGUCUGUUGGAAAAAUAUAUUGCUUGUGGAUUUCUUGGGGAGUGGGAAGGUGAAUUAUACCUGUUGUCUCUACAGUCCACUACCUUCCACACCCUAGGGCAGUGGUCCCCAACCUUCUUGGCACCAGGGAUCAGUUUCCUGGAAGACAAUUUUUCUGUGGAUGGUGUGGGGAUGGUUUUGGGAUGGAACUGUUCCACCUCAGAUCAUCAGGCAUUAGUUAGGCUCUCAUAACGAGUGCGCAGCCUAGAUCCCUCACAUGCACAGUUCACAGUAGGGUUUGCGCUGCUAUGAGAAUCUAAGGCUGCCACUGAUCUGACAGGAGGCAGAACUCAGGUGGCAAUGCUUACUGGCCCACUGCUCACCUCUUGCUGUGCGGCCUGGUUCCUAAUAGGCCAUGGACCCCCACAGACGGGUACUAGUCUGCAGCCUGUGGACCCCAGCCCUAGGGGCCUGCCAUUCUGAGUGAGUUAUUAGCAUGAAGAAGAGGAAGAUCUGGAUCAAACGUGGGUGAUGGUACUCAGAGACCCAAGAUAGGAUAGGGAUGGAACAAAAUCCAUCUGGGCAACGGCUCUAUGAAAAUUUGGCUAAGUAAUUAUUUCAGUAUUCAUUGUAUUCAUUGUCCUUCGUGUUCCAUAAGUUAAAUGACUGUCUAAUUUUUCCAAAAAUUUAUUUCUGACUUGAGAAUAAGUGUGUCAUGAUUUUCCCAGUGUAAAGACACUGAUAUAACUGUAGAUACCAGACAUUUUAUGUAGUGUCUAUGACACAUUUUAGUAUGUAUGAGCCAACAAUAGACAUGUCUUUGUCUUGAGGAGUGUCCAUCUGAAUUGAAAAUGUGUCAGCUUUUUUUUAACAUCAUCAACAGACUUCUUAAUUAAGCUGCCAAUACAUACUGCCAAUAGCACUGUGUGCUGUCUGAGAAAUGCAUUGUGUAAGUGCUAUUUCCAUCUUAUUAAAUAAACAAUGUUGCUCUGUAUAAACUGGAUUUAAAGUGUUCUUUGAAUGAGGCAUUAUAUUGCUCCAUAAAUAAUGUGAUGUGAAUUCUCAUAUGAUCCCUUUUAACUUAAUUUCUAAAAAAAUAUUAUUUGCUCCUCAGUAAGGAAUAGCUCUAAUUGGACUGGUAACUUUAGUGAUAUGAUUUGUCUGUAACAGGCUGAAUCGCCCCACUCCCAAACUCCUGGUCGUGAUACUGGAUAUUUGUUAUGCCACUUUUAGUUUGCAUGAGGUAUCUUCCAGGAAGUAUUAGUUAUUAACUUGUGUUCUACUAAACUGUAGAUAUUUAUUUCCUGUUCUGGAAGAUUUCUUGGAGUGUCCAUCUGUGCAUUCCUGGUGCCUAGUGUAGUCUUGCUAAUGGAAUAGCACCUUUAUUGGUGCUACUUAGGGGUUGGUAGCUUACAAUCAAUCUACUUGGAACGUAUCCAAAUAAACUGGAUAUUUUUAU
Molecule: long non-coding RNA, 3380 nt
Organism: Homo sapiens (human)
Lineage: Eukaryota; Metazoa; Chordata; Mammalia; Primates; Hominidae
Gene: NR2F1-AS1
Product: NR2F1 antisense RNA 1
Source: Ensembl